GGAGUAUGGCGCUAGAAGAACGGUCAUAUUGAAUCGACUAAAACUUAUUUGUUAUACUUUGAGAUGAUAUCGUCACAAGUCAAUUGCUAUAACACGGAGUGUUAACGUGUGUUUUAGUUCCUUAGACCAUGAGAGUAUCGUAGUCACUUCUUACCAUACAAUGAGCUUGGGGGUUGCUCAAACAUCAUCAGUAACUUGGUGAUCAUAAUGACAACUUACAGGUUCAUCGGAAAGUUUGAUAAGGGACUAGAUAGCUCGAGAGUGGAAUUUGCUCCUCCGACGAUGGAGAGAUAUUCUUAGGGACCUCUUGGUGUGAAGGCAUCCAUCAUCAUCUGGCAAGACACAGGUGACAAUGUCAUGGGGAUGCCAGAACACGACAAUGAGAAAGAAGAACAAAACUGACAGCGAGGUGACUGGUAUAGUGAUCAUGUGUAUGACUCAAGAGGAUACCGACACAUCUCACGCGGGUUUUGUAAAGUAUCACGAAGAAAAGGGAACAUCACAUGAUAACUAAAGGUUUGCUUGAAUGUAAUUCAUGUAAUCAUAGGGAUAGAUAUGGACGUCCGCGGUUCCACUAUCGGACAUUGAACGAAUGGGUUUCAUUCAUGUCUAUGUUUUACCGAACCUAUAGGGUCACAAGCUUAAGGUAAUCAUGAUAUGUUGAGUGUUAGUAAGACGAGAGUAUCGACGAUUUCUUUGUGAAAUAGUUUCGUUAAUAUUCAGAAUAGUUCCAAGAGGAACGGGAAGCGUCUCGAUGUCAUCGGAAGGGUUUCGGAGUUUAUCUGGCAAUUCAGGGUAUUCCUGAUAAAUAAUAUAUAGGUGGAAAAUGUUUUCGGUGAUGUUAAAUUAGUAAUAAAAGGCUCUAGUAAUUGUUAGGAGACUUUUAUAUUUAACUUAAUAUCAACGGCCUUAAAAAAGCCAAGUGGUGAAAGGAGAAUUGGGCCACCAUGGCCCAUAUAGGGGAGGCGCCCCCCCUAUUCCCUUCUAGGAGGCCGAAUUGGAGUGGGAGGAGGACUCCUCCCCACUAGGACGGCGCACCAAGGAGGGGCUUUCCCUCCUUGUGUGGCGCCCCUCCCUCUCCCUCCGACCUAUAUAUACAAGAGGCUUUGGUUCUAUUUGGAAACACAAGUUUUGGAGCCUCCUCUAGUUCUCUAGUUAAUAUAAUUAGAGAUAGUUCUAGUUCCUCUAAUCCUUGUAAUUACAAGCCCCAUGUGGUUCUAAUAUCCUCCUCUAAUUCUCCACCGAUGAUUAGUUCUGGACGGCGAAGCACUGCCGGAUCGUGAAGACUGUACGCUUGCAAUCUGUGGAGAGGCCCUGCUUUCGGCCUUCCGUUUGAGGGACUGUUCGUGGGUGGUUCAUGGGAUAAUUCAUCUACAGUUCGAGAGACUCCAAGUACGAUCUACACCUACUCGUGUACUUCCGCUGCUACUCGGAGUCGGUAACGAUCGUGAUCUAAACCUGUUAUGAAUCUUCGUAUUGUUCCUAGGUGAUCGUAGGGCAAAUUUUUUUCUGUUUUAUAUUACGUUUCCCAACAUCAUUGAGGAAGAAAUAGGUUUUGAGACGCAACGAGGCCAGAUUUGCAUGUGAAAUGACUGUUACGUCGUCGAUUGGCCUUUAAUUUUUUCCACAUGGUUAUAUGUAUCAUGUCAACAAUUGACAUUUCAUGAGUUUGUUUGCUAUACUUAGAACAUUAAAUGCAUUUCUAGGCAUUUAAUGAAUAUAAUUAAAAUUUGUAAUGCAGAUACAUGAAAUAAUCGCCAAAAAUGGGUUGAAAAUCUAAUUGGUGCCCUUUACUCUAUGGUUAGGCCUUAUGUAUGGAAAUAAGAGCAAUCGGAGGCGCUAGGUGGUCGAGACUCACCUACCAACAUGGUGUUUAUUGACAUUUUAAUUUUGAAAAAUUCAAACAAAACCCGAAAAUCAGGAUACUUGACCUGGUGUCAUGAUAUGACUGCUAUGUUCUGCUAAAAUUUUGAGGAUAUUUCAGGAUACUUGACAUGGUGUCAUGAUAUUACAAUCCGGACCUCCCACGAAGAGACUUUUCGAGAAGGAAUGAGCCAGGGUUGCAUGUGAAACGAUCAAUGCCUUGUUGGUGGGCCUAGAUUUUUUUCGCACUCAACACACACCAUAUCAUGUCAAAAGUGAACAUUUUUCACAGUCCAUUAGCUAUAUUUAAUCCAUUAAAUGCAUUUUUAGGCAUUUAAUUGAUAUAAUUUAAAUUUGAAUUGCAUUUACAUAAAGUAAUUGCCAGAAAUGGGUUGACAACCUUAUUGGUUGUCUAUAGUGUAUGUUUAUAUGGCGUAAGAAAAUAAGAAGAGUAUCAAACACUCGGUGGAAGAUUCAGACACCAACAUGGUAGUUAUUAUCUUUUUAAUUCUGAGUAAUUCGAAUGAAUCCAAAAAAACAUGAAAUUUCGUAUGGUGUGGUAAAAUUUCGAGAAUGUUUCCAACAAGUUGGCACGUACAAACCAUUCAUAUUCGAGGAAGAGACUAAGUUUCAACGAGGAACGGGUUUGCAUGCGAAGCCACCUCCCCUUCCUCGGUUGACUUUGAAACUUUAUUCACACUCACCACAUGAUUAUAUGUGAUAAAAAAAUUGACAAUUUUUAGAAUUUGUUAUCUAUUUAAGCUAUAAUUGAUUUACCUCUAUUAAAUACCUAGAUUAUAUUUAAUGCCCUUAAAAUAGAAAAUUAACUGGUAAUGGCGUCAAACUUUUACAUGAAACUUCCAAUGGUACGUUUAAUGUAGAUUUUUUUUAAACCAGAAGCCUAAACCUAAAACAUUUAAAACCCUAAAAAUUAAAAAAAAGACAAAAAACUGGUGGCGGCCCCACCAUUGAUACUACCCAGUCAUCUUGAAAUUACCAAUGACGGGAACACACACACACACACCAUUGGUACUUGAGUUACUAGUGGGGAGCCAAACAUAUCCGCCAUGGUACUUUAGGCCAGAAUAACCAUGUGCCAAAAACACCAAGGCACGUAUCAGUGACGGGCGUGGGUUUGGAGAGAGCCUCGUCAGCGCUAGAUUACGGAACGAUGCACAGGUUGUUGCCCGUGCGGGCCGGCCUGGUAAAUUGCUCGCUCGUUCCCCUGCCUAAAAAAAUGCUCGCUUGCUCGCUGCCCAUUCACCUAUGUAUGUGUGGGUUAAAAACAUUUUGUUGUGUGGCGGUCUGUUGUCUUAGAAAAAGGCAGAUUUUUUGAUUAAUUUGGAAAAACUUGGUGAAAUCAUAAAAUGGUCAUGGGUUUUACAAAAUGUUCAUGAAUUUGGAAAACUGUACCAAGGAUUUAAAAUAAGUUCCAUCAAUUUGAAAAAUGUUUAUGGAAUUGAAAUAAAGUUCAUGGUUUUGAGAAAUGUUUGUAAAUUUGAAAAUGUUAAUGGAUUUACAUAAAAGUUCUCCAAUUUGAAAAACUUCAUAUAUUUUGGAAACGUUCACGAAUUUUUAAACAGUUCUUGAAUUUUGUGAAUUCAAACAAUGUUCAUAGAUUUUUUUUAAAAGUUGUGGAUUUGAAAAAAAUGCAUAUUUUAAAAAAUGUUCAUGGAUUUGAAUUUUUGUAGAUGUAUUUUUUGCGGAUUUUCAAAAUGUUUGCAAUUUUUUAGAGAAGUUAGCAAAUUUUAAAAAUGUUCGCGAAAGUGAAAACAGUUCACUAUUUUAAAAUGAGAAAACAGAAAAACAGAACUAAAAAAUGAACAAGAAAAAUGAAAAAAAGGAAAAAGGGAAAAAAGGAAAAAAUGAAAAAAAGGAAACCAAAAAGAAAGGAAAAAACACGAAAAAAAUAACCCGAACAGAAAAACAAGUGAAAAAAGAAACCUGCAAAAAAAUAGGGCCCAAAAAACAGGUGGGAGGAGAGAUAUUAGGCCCUAGCUCACUUAGAGGUAGUGCAACAUGGGUGGUGCACGGUCUAUCAUUGUGCGGCAUUUCCUAUUUAGCGCUGAGGCGCCGGUUUGUACUGUUUUUCGCUAACCGGCGCCUGCAGCAGCUACUCCUGCGUCUUAGUCAGGCCGGCCCAUAUUAGAUUUUUUUACUGUUUUCUAAACUCGAGAUAAACUGCAAAAAAAGCACGCGAACUAGGAAUCGAACCUGCGACGCAGGUGUUAAGGAUUAAUUAAAUUCUAAUAAUCCAUGCUUAGGUCAGUUGUGUAGAUUAGCAACCGCUAGUUACCGCCUAUGUAGUUACCGCCUUGUAACAGGGGUAUAAAUACCCUACUCUUCAAUCAAUAAAAUAAGAUGUUCAUUCUGUCAAUCACUUGUACUUUCACACGUUAUCGCACACGCCUCUUCCAGAGAGCAAUUAGGCCAAGAACUCGACGGCACCAGCGUCCCUGGCCAUCGGCCUGAUACACGGCUGUGGCAGCCCGACGGCGUGGACACCAGCAGCGGCACCCUUUCAGUUGGCGGCGGCGGCGGCCAACGUCAGGCACACGACAACAGGGGCGGAGAGAGGCGCAGCCCCUCAAGGCACGAACGCCUAAAACAGCCAGAAGGGAAAUAUAGCAGGAAACACUAAUUCCGUUUAGUUUUUGUUCUUCCCGUGAUCUGGAAAUUAACUGCAUUUUUCUGCACAUAGUGGAUCGCUUCAUCCGAGCAUGUGGGCAUGGUGACAUGAAUAGGUGGCUGAAGCAUCAACCGGAAGAAAUCCUUGAUGAAGGAAGAGAAAGCUUCAAUCAAGAACGUACCAUGUCUUUUUCUAAUUUCUUGAACUGGAACUAGCGGCCACUGCCGCUCGUCGUCUCGCCAUCACUGCAGCAGCAACAACCGCGUCGACGACGCACGCAGAAGCAUCAGUCCUCCGGGCGCGGCGGACACCACAGCCACGACACGCCGCUCCUCCGAGCGGCCCUCGGCCCGGCUCUCCGCAGCCGCAUCACGCGGUGGAGGUGGCCCCGCACUCAAGUCCGAGUAACGGCGGUGUCCCCGCGUACGAGGUUUGGUGGCGCCAGCAUCCUCUCUCUGGCCCGGCGAGCCCUCGAGGCAGCCGGGGACGGCGGUAAUUUUCCCCUCAGGAACCGCACGAGAAGAAGAUUGGGGCAACCUUAUCCAUUUUGGUGACUUUUAGUUCGGCUCUCCAACUUUCUAGUAUUCGCAUAUUAGUAUCUAUAGUACAUCUUCAGGCCACAGGUUUUACUGUACUUUACGUCUGUGCAACUGGGAUUUCUGAAAUAAUUUUCAGGCCAUAACAACUGCAGAAUAGCCCAACAGAUUUUCUGCUUGGAUCCUCAGAUCUAAUUGAGUUCAAUCUCUGUGUUUCCUGUAAAUAGCAGUUUAUCUCCUUAGUUAUACUGUAAAAAUUUACAUUAGAGAGACCCUAUCUCUCUGUAUCGUAUUUACUAUAAGUAAGUGAUUAUUCUAGACAAAUUUUCUAGAAUCUGUUGCAUGUUCAAUCUGUUUGCUUUUCAAGCAUCAACCGG
This 5405-nucleotide long non-coding RNA is filed under the name Triticum aestivum (bread wheat). Its description in RNAcentral is "long non-coding RNA (TAES_LNC019532)". Lineage: Eukaryota; Viridiplantae; Streptophyta; Magnoliopsida; Poales; Poaceae. The record is from RNAcentral.